CAUGGGUGCUACCAUGCAGUCGACGAACCUUCGGGUUAGUGGCGGACGGGUGAGUAACGCGUGAGAAUCUGCCCUCAGGAGGGGGAUAACGGCUGGAAACGGCCGCUAAUACCCCAUAUGCCGAGAGGUGAAAUGAAUUUCGCCUGAGGAUGAGCUCGCGUCUGAUUAGCUUGUUGGUGGGGUAAUGGCCUACCAAGGCAACGAUCAGUAGCUGGUCUGAGAGGAUGAUCAGCCACACUGGGACUGAGACACGGCCCAGACUCCUACGGGAGGCAGCAGUGGGGAAUUUUCCGCAAUGGGCGAAAGCCUGACGGAGCAACGCCGCGUGAGGGAUGAAGGCCUCUGGGCUGUAAACCUCUUUUAUCAAGGAAGAAGAUCUGACGGUACUUGAUGAAUAAGCCACGGCUAAUUCCGUGCCAGCAGCCGCGGUAAUACGGGAGUGGCAAGCGUUAUCCGGAAUCAUUGGGUUUAAAGGGUCCGUAGGCGGUUUUUUAAGUCAGAGGUGAAAUCCUGCAGCUCAACUGUAGAAUUGCCUUUGAUACUGAAAGACUUGAGUUAUUGUGAAGUGGUUAGAAUGUGUGGUGUAGCGGUGAAAUGCAUAGAUAUCACACAGAAUACCAAUUGCGAAGGCAGAUCACUAACAAUAUACUGACGCUCAGGGACGAAAGCGUGGGUAGCGAACAGGAUUAGAUACCCUGGUAGUCCACGCCGUAAACGAUGGAUACUAGCUGUAUGUCUACUUCAG
RNAcentral lists this ribosomal RNA (745 nucleotides) under uncultured bacterium. Its description in RNAcentral is "bacterial SSU rRNA". It matches the Rfam family "Bacterial small subunit ribosomal RNA", at positions 43 to 836 of the family's 1533-position model. The record is from RNAcentral.